This 468-nucleotide ribosomal RNA is filed under the name uncultured bacterium. RNAcentral's name for it is "partial 16S ribosomal RNA". It matches the Rfam family "Bacterial small subunit ribosomal RNA", at positions 28 to 507 of the family's 1533-position model. The record is from RNAcentral.
GACGAACGCUGGCGGCGUGCUUAACACAUGCAAGUCGAACGGAAAGGCCCUGCUUUUGUGGGGUGCUCGGGUGGCGAACGGGUGAGUAACACGUGAGUCACCUGCCCUUGACUUUGGGAUAACUUCAGGAAACUGGGGCUCAUACCGGAUAGGAGCUCCUGCUGCAUGGUGGGGGUUGGAAAGUUUCGGCGGUUGGGGAUGGACUCGCGGCUUAUCAGCUUGUUGGUGGGGUAGUGGCUUACCAAGGCUUUGACGGGUAGCCGGCCUGGGAGGGUGACCGGCCACAUUGGGACGGAGAUACGGCCCAGACUCCUACGGAAGGCAGCAGUGGGGAAUAUUGCACAAUGGGCGGAAGCCUGAUGCAGCAACGCAGCGUGCGGGAUGACGGCCGUCGGGUUGUAAACCGCGUUCGCCUGUGACGAAGCGUGUGUGACGGUAAUGGGUAAAGAAGCACCGGCUAACUACGUG